Molecule: unclassified non-coding RNA, 2398 nt
Filed under: Hevea brasiliensis (rubber tree)
Lineage: Eukaryota; Viridiplantae; Streptophyta; Magnoliopsida; Malpighiales; Euphorbiaceae
Source: RNAcentral
UCUUUUCUUUUUUUUUUCUUUUUUCUCUUCCCUCAAUAACAAUUCUAACAAUAAUGCCAAACAAAACUGCUUCUGUUAAAUUCUGAAGAAAGAAAUUAAUAAAGGAAUUUUAGGCAAGGCUUUUCCAGUAAACUAUCUUUAAUAUAAUAAUUUCCCCUUUGGUGCAAAAGGUUGAACAAAAAUUCCAUCUCAGUAUACAAUAUCUAAUAAGAAAUCAAAUUUGCACUGUUUGAUUUCUUCUACCAAAAGAACUCAAUCCAAAAGAAUUAUGAAAGAGUAUUAUUUUGAGCCUUACAAGUUUUGGUUUGGGAUGCUAUAUUGUGUACCAUAUCUCUUAACUGUUGUGAUGAUUAGGGUUAUUUAUUGCGCAAACUAUGUUUCUGGUUUCUGCUACAUGGGCCUGCCUAAUGCUAUUUUGGCUAAGACAAUAACAUAUUCCAUCAAUAUGUUAGUUCUAAUUAAUUUGAUUCUUGUAGCAAACAAUGCAAUUCAUUUAUGAAAAGGGCUACACUGGUGAAAAAUGGUCUGGAGAAUUCUGUUCCCAGUAUCAGAGUGGUACUUAAUCCCGAUAAGGUAUUGUUUGCUAAUUUUAUUAUCUUUACUUUCAGCAUCACUAAUAAUUGGGUUUGUUAUUUAGCUUUUGUUUUUAUCUGGUAAAGCCAUGUAUACCAUGAACUUUUCAAUAAUAUACUGCUUUUAUGCAUAUGUGAGUUCCUUAGAAGUGCUGUCCUCAUUCUUAAUAGAUUCAUUUUUAAUUUUAGAAAAUAUUCAGUUCAAGGACUUUAAUGAUCAUCUGAUUUUCAUGUCCUUUGGAUUGGUUGCAAGCAAAGUCAAUGAUUUACAUUGGUACUACCAUGUUGUAGUUAAAUUCUCUGUUAUUGGCCUCAUUUUGAAUUUAUUUUGUGUGUAUGUCAUCAAAUUCAAGGAUCUGUAUCCCUUGAGUCUACAGUCAUGUCUUCCAUAACGGUUUUUUGAAGUGUUUCAUCAUUGAAGGCUUGUUAUGGAAGUGUAUCUUUGCCAAACUCUCUCAAAUGCAUAUACCUUCUGGAGUUGGCCACAGAUGUUUUUUCGAAAUCAAUACCUGAAAAGUUGACAUCCAUAAUUUAUCGUUUUCUGUUGACAUAGCCAGAUUUUUGUGCCUUCCCUGAGUUGUAUGAAGUGUUUUGUAUUGGCGUUGGUUCAUAAAUUCGUUGGUAAUAUAUGGAAAAACUGGUGCAGCAAGCCUGUUUAUAUAAAGAACCAUUAUAAAUAUAUGCAUAUUAUGUGAAUAUUACUUUUGAGUUUUAUCUAUUUACAGCCUAGAAGGGGUUGCUUUGAAAUACGGGAGGAAGGUGGAGAGAAGUUCAUCAGUCUUCUGGUAAAACUUUCAAUUGCGGCAUCUAUAAGAGGCCUAUUUAUUUUAUUUUAUUUUAUUCUGUUCUUUUGCAUGGUUUUCUUGUCUUAAAAUUAUUCUAGUUAUGUGCUGUCAAUGAAAUUAGACUGCAAUUCCAUUCUUGUGCAAUCAAGGUCUGGAACUUUACACUUGCUGUUACAAUGACUGGUGAAAUUGACUGUUUCAGGAUGCAUACAAAACUUAACAUUUUGUUGGAGUUUCAACUGUGAAAUGUUUGCCCUUUGGCCUUAGUUAAGUGACUUGUGUUGAAGUUGUAGAUACUAGAGCUGCAUCUAACUUGUCACGUAAUAUCACUGAUAUGUUAAAAUUGCAUAGGAUUUAAAAAACUGACGCCAAGGUCAAAAUAUUCUCACUGAUCAUAAUGUUGAAAGUAGCGUUGUUUCUCCUUUUGAUUGGGUCUUCGCAUUAUUGUAAGGCUGAGAGAUAUGUUGUAGCAUCUGAUACAUUUUCUUCCCAUGUAUUGCCAGUCUUUAUGUUCCUGUUGCGUAGUCUCAGUUUUGCCUGUAUCUUUAUCUUGUGCAGGACAUGAAACGGCCAUUUAAACCAAUGAAGGAUCUUGACAUGGACAAAGUCAUCGCAGAUAUAAUUGACAAGAUCAAAUGAUGAGCCAUUGGAGUGCAGGAGUAUUUUGACUGCAGAGGCAGUUUUUUGUGGAGUUGGAAGUCAACCAAGCUAACAUGACUCUAAAAUGGAAACCUUCGGAUUCUGUUCUGUUGAUUUUCCAUGCAUGCAUCUGUUUGUAGUUUUGUUGUUGUUAUACUGUCAAGGUCAUUAUCCUUAUGAACAAAUUAUUUUGGAUAUAUUCUUGGCAAGCACUAUGAUGAACCAAUGCGUACAAGUGCAUUUUUAAUGUUGUUUCUGAGAGCUAAGGAAGUGAUAUUGACGCGUUAUUUACUUGAUUGUCUUGAUAUGUAAGUGGUUAUCUGACUGCAAAAGCUCAGGCCUGUUUAGUUGUCACUGAAAUAGAAAAUCCACGUCAUUCGCCUCCCUUGCACGAGGUUAUCU